AGUGAACGCUGGCGGUAGGCCUAACACAUGCAAGUCGAACGGCAGCACAGUAAGAGCUUGCUCUUACGGGUGGCGAGUGGCGGACGGGUGAGGAAUACAUCGGAAUCUACUUUUUCGUGGGGGUUAACGUAGGGAAACUUACGCUAAUACCGCAUACGACCUACGUGUGAAAGCAGGGGAUCUUCGGACCUUGCGCGAUUGAAUGAGCCGAUGUCGGAUUAGCUAGUUGGCGGGGUAAAGGCCCACCAAGGCGACGAUCCGUAGCUGGUCUGAGAGGAUGAUCAGCCACACUGGAACUGAGACACGGUCCAGACUCCUACGGGAGGCAGCAGUGGGGAAUAUUGGACAAUGGGCGCAAGCCUGAUCCAGCCAUACCGCGUGGGUGAAGAAGGCCUUCGGGUUGUAAAGCCCUUUUGUUGGGAAAGAAAAGCAGCAGGUUAAUACCCCGCUGUUCUGACGGUACCCAAAGAAUAAGCACCGGCUAACUUCGUG
This 492-nucleotide ribosomal RNA is filed under the name uncultured bacterium. RNAcentral's name for it is "partial 16S ribosomal RNA". It matches the Rfam family "Bacterial small subunit ribosomal RNA", at positions 29 to 507 of the family's 1533-position model. The record is from RNAcentral.